GAGUAUCAUGUGGUCUGGUUCCUCCUGGGUCAGCUAGAGGGAGUAUCAUGUGCUCUGGUUCCUCCUGGGUCAGGUAGAGGGAGUGUCAUGUGCUCUGGUUCCUCCUGGGUCAGCUAGAGGGAGUAUCAUGUGGUCUGGUUCCUCCUGGGUCAGCUAGAGGGAGUAUCAUGUGGUCUGGUUCCUCCUGGGUCAGGUAGAGGGAGUAUCAUGUGGUCUGGAUACUAGGGGGAGUGUCAUGUGGUCUGGUUACUAGGGGGAGUGUCUUGUGGUCUGGUUACUAAGGGGAGUGUCAUGUGCUCUGGUUCCUCCUGGGUCAGCUAGAGGGAGUAUCAUGUGGUCUGGUUCCUCCUGGGUCAGCUAGAGGGAGUAUCAUGUGCUCUGGUUCCUCCUGGGUCAGCUAGAGGGAGUAUCAUGUGCUCUGGUUCCUCCUGGGUCAGCUAGAGGGAGUAUCAUGUGCUCUGGUUCCUCCUGGGUCAGCUAGAGGGAGUAUCAUGUGCUCUGGUUCCUCCUGGGUCAGCUAGAG
Long non-coding RNA from Oncorhynchus keta (chum salmon), 523 nucleotides. RefSeq lists it as uncharacterized. The record is from RefSeq and is a predicted model, not a curated record. NCBI's taxonomy places the organism in Eukaryota, Metazoa, Chordata, Actinopteri, Salmoniformes, Salmonidae. The transcript has 3 exons.